RNAcentral lists this ribosomal RNA (497 nucleotides) under uncultured bacterium. RNAcentral's name for it is "partial 16S ribosomal RNA". It matches the Rfam family "Bacterial small subunit ribosomal RNA", at positions 28 to 507 of the family's 1533-position model. The record is from RNAcentral.
GAUGAACGCUGGCGGCGUGCCUAAUACAUGCAAGUCGAGCGAACAGACGAGGAGCUUGCUCCUCUGACGUUAGCGGCGGACGGGUGAGUAACACGUGGAUAACCUACCUAUAAGACUGGGAUAACUUCGGGAAACCGGAGCUAAUACCGGAUAAUAUAUUGAACCGCAUGGUUCAAUAGUGAAAGACGGUUUUGCUGUCACUUAUAGAUGGAUCCGCGCCGCAUUAGCUAGUUGGUAAGGUAACGGCUUACCAAGGCGACGAUGCGUAGCCGAACUGAGAGGGUGAUAGGCCACACUGGAACUGAGCCACGGUCCAGACUCCUACGGGAGGCAGCAGUAGGGAAUCUGCCGCAAUGGGCGAAAGCCUGACGGAGCAACGCCGCGUGAGUGAUGAAGGUCUUCGGAUCGUAAAACUCUGUUAUUAGGGAAGAACAAAUGUGUAAGUAACUAUGCACGUCUUGACGGUACCUAAUCAGAAAGCCACGGCUAACUACGUG